GCUUAGCCGCAAACUUUUAAUUACACUCACAACGCCAGGGUACUACGAGCAAAGCUUAAAACCCAAGGGACUUGACGGUACCCCAUAUCCCCCUAGAGGAGCCUGUCCUGUAAUCGAUAAUCCCCGUUUAACCUCACCAUUUUUAGCUAUAUCAGUCUGUAUACCUCCGUCGCCAAUUUACCCCGUGAGCGUCUGAUAGUAAGUGAAAUGUCUUAUUACUCAACUAUACGUCAGGUCAAGGUGCAGCAAAUAAAAUGGGAAGAGAUGGGCUACACUCUCUAACUUAGAAUACACGGAAAACUCGUCAUGAAAAGAGUUUGAAGGCGGAUUUAGUAGUAAGCGGGGCUCAGAGAACCCCCCUUAAACCGGCACUGGGGUGUGUACACACCGCCCGUCACCCUCUUCGCAGCCAUUAAAUAGUGUUUUACAACCCCCAUGCACAGUAGAAGAGGCAAGUCGUAACAUGGUAAGUAUACCGGAAGGUGUGCUUGGAAA
This 495-nucleotide ribosomal RNA is filed under the name Bokermannohyla astartea (Paranapiacaba treefrog). RNAcentral describes it as "partial small subunit ribosomal RNA". It matches the Rfam family "Bacterial small subunit ribosomal RNA", at positions 794 to 1522 of the family's 1533-position model. Lineage: Eukaryota; Metazoa; Chordata; Amphibia; Anura; Hylidae. The record is from RNAcentral.